This 846-nucleotide ribosomal RNA is filed under the name uncultured Bacteroidota bacterium. RNAcentral's name for it is "bacterial SSU rRNA". It matches the Rfam family "Bacterial small subunit ribosomal RNA", at positions 51 to 894 of the family's 1533-position model. Lineage: Bacteria; Pseudomonadati; Bacteroidota. The record is from RNAcentral.
AUACAUGUGAGUCGAGGGGCAGCGGAUCCCUCCGGGGAUGCCGGCGACCGGCGAACGGGUGAGUAACACGUAUGGAACCUACCCUUAACUGGGGAAUAGCCUUGAGAAAUCGAGGGUAAUACCCCAUAUCAUCUGAAAGAGGCAUCUCUUUCAGAUGAAAGCUCCGGCGGUUAAGGAUGGCCAUGCGGUCCAUUAGCUUGUUGGUGAGAUAACCGCUCACCAAGGCAACGAUGGAUAGCUGAUCUGAGAGGAUGAUCAGCCACAUUGGCACUGAGACACGGGCCAAACUCCUACGGGAGGCAGCAGUAGGGAAUCUUGGUCAAUUGGCGAAAGCCAGAACCAGUCAUGCCGCGUGCAGGAUGAAGGCCCUACGGGUCGUAAACUGCUUUUAUUCGGGAAGAAAAAGUCUGUUUCCACAGAUCCUGACGGUACCGACUGAAUAAGGACCGGCCAACUCCGUGCCAGCAGCCGCGGUAAUACGGAGGGUCCAAGCGUUAUCCGGAUUCACUGGGUUUAAAGGGUGCGCAGGCGGCCAAGUAAGUCAGUGGUGAAAGCCUUCGGCUCAACCGGAGAAUUGCCAUUGAAACUACUUGGCUUGAGUGCGGCAGAGGUAGGCGGAAUGUAGCAUGUAGCGGUGAAAUGCAUAGAUAUGCUACAGAACACCGAUAGCGAAAGCAGCUUACCACACUGUAACUGACGCUGAGGCACGAAAGCAUGGGUAGCAAACAGGAUUAGAUACCCUGGUAGUCCAUGCCGUAAACUUUGAACACUCGGAGUUUGCCACCUAGUGGUAAGCUCCCUAGCGAAAGCGUUAAGUGUUCCACCUGGGGAGUAUGGUCGCAAGGC